RNAcentral lists this ribosomal RNA (253 nucleotides) under uncultured bacterium. RNAcentral's name for it is "partial 16S ribosomal RNA". It matches the Rfam family "Bacterial small subunit ribosomal RNA", at positions 524 to 776 of the family's 1533-position model. The record is from RNAcentral.
UACGUAGGGGGCGAGCGUUGUCCGAAUUCACUGGGCGUAAAGCGCGCGUAGGCGGACUUUUAAGUUGGGGGUGAAAUGCCGAGGCUCAACCUCGGAACUGCCUCCAAAACUGGGAGUCUUGAGGUAUGGAGAGGGAAGUGGAAUUCCAGGUGUAGCGGUGAUAUGCGUAGAUAUCUGGAGGAACACCCGUGGCGAAGGCGGCUUCCUGGUCAUAUCCUGACGCUGAGGUGCGAAAGCCAGGGGAGCGAACGGG